GAAAGCGUGGGGAGCGAAGGGGAUUAGAUACCCCCGUAGUCCACGCCGUAAACGAUGUGUGCUCGAUGUCGGAUAAUUAAUCUAAUUCGGUGUCCAAGCUAACGCGGUAAGCACACCGCCUGAGUAGUACGAUCGCAAGAUUAAAACUUAAAGGAAUAGACGGGGACCCACACAAGCGGUGGAGCAUGGGGUUUAAUUCGAUGAUAAGCGGAGCACCUCACCUAGGUUUGACAUCCUCCAAAUUGACUAGAAAUAGUUAAGUGCCGCAAGGAAUGGAGUGACAGGUGAUGCACGGUCGUCGUCAGCUCGUGUCUUGAGAUGUACUGUUAAGUCAGCAAACGAGCGCAACCCUCAUCCUAUGUUGUUUUUUCAUAGGAGACUGCCGCCUCCAAGGCGGAGGAAGGUGAGGAUGACGUCAGAUCUGCGUGUCCCUUAUACCUAGGGCAACACCCGUGCUACAAUGGCUGGUACAAAGAGCAGCGACCCCGCGAGGGCAAGCAAAUCUCAAAAAACCAGUCUCAGUUCGGAUUGAAGUCUGCAACUCGACUUCAUGAAGUUGGAAUCGCUAGUAACCGUAAAUCAGCUAUGUUACGGUGAAUAUGUUCCUGGGUCUUGUACUCACCGCCCGUCAAGUCAUGAAAGGCAGGGGCACCCGAAGCACCGUUACUCUUUUGAGGCGGUACCACGGUGAAACUGCUGAUUGGGACUAAGUCGUAACAAGGUAUCCGUAGGAGAACCUGCGGAUG
Molecule: ribosomal RNA, 746 nt
Filed under: marine metagenome
Description: bacterial SSU rRNA
Rfam family: Bacterial small subunit ribosomal RNA
Source: RNAcentral